This 482-nucleotide ribosomal RNA is filed under the name Aeromonas sp. Its description in RNAcentral is "bacterial SSU rRNA". It matches the Rfam family "Bacterial small subunit ribosomal RNA", at positions 8 to 477 of the family's 1533-position model. The record is from RNAcentral. Lineage: Bacteria; Pseudomonadati; Pseudomonadota; Gammaproteobacteria; Aeromonadales; Aeromonadaceae.
AGAGUUUGAUCAUGGCUCAGAUUGAACGCUGGCGGCAGGCCUAACACAUGCAAGUCGAGCGGCAGCGGGAAAGUAGCUUGCUACUUUUGCCGGCGAGCGGCGGACGGGUGAGUAAUGCCUGGGGAUCUGCCCAGUCGAGGGGGAUAACUACUGGAAACGGUAGCUAAUACCGCAUACGCCCUACGGGGGAAAGCAGGGGACCUUCGGGCCUUGCGCGAUUGGAUGAACCCAGGUGGGAUUAGCUAGUUGGUGAGGUAAUGGCUCACCAAGGCGACGAUCCCUAGCUGGUCUGAGAGGAUGAUCAGCCACACUGGAACUGAGACACGGUCCAGACUCCUACGGGAGGCAGCAGUGGGGAAUAUUGCACAAUGGGGGAAACCCUGAUGCAGCCAUGCCGCGUGUGUGAAGAAGGCCUUCGGGUUGUAAAGCACUUUCAGCGAGGAGGAAAGGUUGGUAGCUAAUAACUCCCAGCUGUGACGUUA